CAUCCUCCAAGGCUAAAUACUCCUGACUGACCGAUAGUGAACCAGUACCGUGAGGGAAAGGCGAAAAGAACCCCGGCGAGGGGAGUGAAAAAGAACCUGAAACCGUGUACGUACAAGCAGUGGGAGCCCCACCACUAAGCCAGUGGUGAACUCCACAUACGCAUCCUUUGCUGAGGAUACGGUUAACGGAGCGAAAGCGACGUUCAACCUCAAAAGAAGCAGAGGGGGCUUAGUGGUGGGGUGACUGCGUACCUUUUGUAUAAUGGGUCAGCGACUUAUAUUCUGUAGCAAGGUUAACCGAAUAGGGGAGCCGGAGGGAAACCGAGUCUUAAUUGGGCGUUAAGUUGCAGGGUAUAGACCCGAAACCCGGUGAUCUAGCCAUGGGCAGGUUGAAGGUUGGGUAACACUAACUGGAGGACCGAACCGACUAAUGUUGAAAAAUUAGCGGAUGACCUGUGGCUGGGGGUGAAAGGCCAAUCAAACCGGGAGAUAGCUGGUUCUCCCCGAAAGCUAUUUAGGUAGCGCCUCGUGAAUUCAUCUCCGGGGGUAGAGCACUGUUUCGGCUAGGGGGCCAUCCCGGCUUACCAACCCGAUGCAAACUGCGAAUACCGGAGAAUGUUAUCACGGGAGACACACGGCGGGUGCUAACGUCCGUCGUGAAGAGGGAAACAACCCAGACCGCCAGCUAAGGUCCCAAAGUCAUGGUUAAGUGGGAAACGAUGUGGGAAGGCCCAGACAGCCAGGAUGUUGGCUUAGAAGCAGCCAUCAUUUAAAGAAAGCGUAAUAGCUCACUGGUCGAGUCGGCCUGCGCGGAAGAUGUAACGGGGCUAAACCAUGCACCGAAGCUGCGGCAGCGACACUGGUGUUGUUGGGUAGGGGAGCGUUCUGUAAGCCUGUGAAGGUGGCCUGUGAGGGUUGCUGGAGGUAUCAGAAGUGCGAAUGCUGACAUAAGUAACGAUAAAGCGGGUGAAAACCCCGCUCGCCGGAAGACCAAGGGUUCCUGUCCAACGUUAAUCGGGGCAGGGUGAGUCGACCCCUAAGGC
This 1043-nucleotide ribosomal RNA is filed under the name Salmonella enterica subsp. enterica serovar Kiambu. Its description in RNAcentral is "bacterial LSU rRNA". It matches the Rfam family "Bacterial large subunit ribosomal RNA", at positions 454 to 1397 of the family's 2925-position model. Lineage: Bacteria; Pseudomonadati; Pseudomonadota; Gammaproteobacteria; Enterobacterales; Enterobacteriaceae. The record is from RNAcentral.